Molecule: non-coding RNA, 1050 nt
Organism: Nematostella vectensis (starlet sea anemone)
Lineage: Eukaryota; Metazoa; Cnidaria; Anthozoa; Actiniaria; Edwardsiidae
Source: Rfam
UUGCAACGGCGAAUUGUAGUUUCGAGAAGCACUUUCUCGGCGGAUCCGAGGUCGUCCAAGUUGCUUGGAACAGCACGUCGUAGAGGGUGACAACCCCGUCUGCGGCGAUCUCGGCCGUUCACGAUGUGCUUUCGACGAGUCGGGUUGUUUGGGAAUGCAGCCCAAAAUGGGUGGUAAACUCCAUCUAAAGCUAAAUAUUGGCACGAGACCGAUAGCGAACAAGUACCGUGAGGGAAAGAUGAAAAGCACUUNGAAAAGAGAGUUAAAAAGUACGUGAAACCGUUAAAAGGGAAACGAAUGGGGUUAGCAAUGCGUCGUGCGAGAUUCAGCCGGUGGGUGGGCCAGGCGGGCGGUUGGCGGAUCUGAAUGGACCGCUGCCGUUCGGGUUGGUUUCCCGACCGUCGCACUUCUCGCAGGCGCGCGCCAACGUCGGUUAGGGCUGGGUCUCAAAGGCGGUGGAAAGGUAGGUUUGGACUCUCGGGCCCGAACUGUUACAGUCCUCCGUUUGUCAUGGCCCGGACCUGACCGAGGAGCUUGCGGUGCAUGCCGUUCGGCUAGGGUCCCGUCUUCCCGGUCGGUCGUCGAAUGCGGUGGACUGCGUGCAGUGCGCCGCGACUGCUGCCGGUCGCGAGGGCGGUGAUUUCGUACUAUGCACCCACGACGUUGGCGGUCAUAUGGCCUCAUCCGACCCGUCUUGAAACACGGACCAAGGAGUCUAACAUGUGUGCGAGUCUUUGAGUGAUCGAAACUCCGAGGCGAAAUGAAAGUGAAGGCGACUUCGGUCGCUGAGGUGAGAGCCUUUUUCACAAAAAAAAGGCGCAUCAUUGACCGACCUAUUCUACUCUUAGAAAGGUUUGAGUAAGAGCGCAUCUGUUGGGACCCGAAAGAUGGUGAACUAUGCCUGAAUAGGGUGAAGCCAGAGGAAACUCUGGUGGAGGCUCGUAGCGAUUCUGACGUGCAAAUCGAUCGUCAAAUUUGGGUAUAGGGGCGAAAGACUAAUCGAACUGUCUAGUAGCUGGUUCCCUCCGAAGUUUCCCUCAGGAUAGCGGA